Molecule: ribosomal RNA, 253 nt
Filed under: uncultured bacterium
Lineage: Bacteria
Description: partial 16S ribosomal RNA
Rfam family: Bacterial small subunit ribosomal RNA
Source: RNAcentral
UACGGAGGGUGCAAGCGUUAUCCGGAUUCACUGGGUUUAAAGGGUGCGUAGGUGGGCAGGUAAGUCAGUGGUGAAAUCCUGUAGCUUAACUACAGAACUGCCAUUGAUACUAUUUGUCUUGAAUACCCUGGAGGUGAGCGGAAUAUGUCAUGUAGCGGUGAACUGCUUAGAUAUGACAUAGAACAUCUAUUGCGAAGGCAGCUCACUACGGGAAUAUUGACGCUGAGGCACGAAAGCGUGGGGAUCAAACAGG